This 176-nucleotide small RNA is filed under the name Chelonoidis abingdonii (Abingdon island giant tortoise). Its description in RNAcentral is "TUC338 (ENSCABG00000005924.1)". Lineage: Eukaryota; Metazoa; Chordata; Testudines; Testudinidae. The record is from RNAcentral.
UUGCCAGCUCUGAUGAUACACAUGUCCUCCAUUUGCCCAUAGAGCAGUUACAGCAGGAGCUGCAUCAGUGCAAGCUUCCUCACCCUUCUCUGCCAACGUGCUUCAAUCCUGAGUUGGAGGAACCCCCUAGGGGUGAGAUAACUCUGUUUUCUCUGACAACACAAUCUUCCUCUUCC